CUCUCUAUCUCUCUCUCAUCUCUCUUUCACAGAUACAUCUCUCUCCCUCUAUGUUCUUCACGGAUUCACAGUCAUCUCUCUUCUUCUUCUGAUCCUCUUAGGGUUUAUAUCCAACGCUGCCCAAUCACUCUGAUUCGAUUUCCAAUCGAGUCACAGCAAGUGCAUAGCCAAAGACAUCAAGACCAAUUCCAUGUAUGUUGCCAAGUACACCAUAGUCAACCCCAACGAUCCCCAUCCCUUCCCCAAAUCUCACAAAAUCAUCGU
This 264-nucleotide unclassified non-coding RNA is filed under the name uncultured bacterium. Its description in RNAcentral is "contains 16S-23S intergenic spacer region". The record is from RNAcentral.